RNAcentral lists this ribosomal RNA (496 nucleotides) under uncultured bacterium. Its description in RNAcentral is "partial 16S ribosomal RNA". It matches the Rfam family "Bacterial small subunit ribosomal RNA", at positions 29 to 507 of the family's 1533-position model. The record is from RNAcentral.
AUGAACGCUGGCGGCGUGCCUAAUCCAUGCAAGUCGCGCGAACAGACGAGGAGCUUGCUCCUCUGACGUUAGCGGCGGACGGGUGAGUAACACGUGGAUAACCUACCUAUAAGACUGGGAUAACUUCGGGAAACCGGAGCUAAUGCCGGAUAAUAUAUUGAACCGCAUGGUUCAAUAGUGAAAGACGGUUUUGCUGUCACUUAUAGAUGGAUCCGCGCCGCAUUAGCUAGUUGGUAAGGUAACGGCUUACCAAGGCAACGAUGCGUAGCCGACCUGAGAGGGUGAUCGGCCACACUGGAACUGAGACACGGUCCAGACUCCUACGGGAGGCAGCAGUAGGGAAUCUUCCGCAAUGGGCGAAAGCUUGACGGAGCAACGCCGCGUGAGUGAUGAAGGUCUUCGGAUCGUAAAACUCUGUUAUUAGGGAAGAACAAAUGUGUAAGUAACUAUGCACGUCUUGACGGUACCUAAUCAGAAAGCCACGGCUAACUACGUG